This 310-nucleotide long non-coding RNA is filed under the name Ananas comosus (pineapple). Its description in RNAcentral is "long non-coding RNA (ACOM_LNC034482)". Lineage: Eukaryota; Viridiplantae; Streptophyta; Magnoliopsida; Poales; Bromeliaceae. The record is from RNAcentral.
GUUAUAUUUCGGUUCAUAAAUUUUUGUGAUUCUUUUGGAAUUUUUUUUUUUUUUGAAAAACAGAUGGCAAUGUUAACUGUUUCAUCCAUUAGACGAAAUAAACUUAACAAUCGAGAUGAAAGCAGCCAAGGCCUCCAAAAGGAAAAAGAAUAGAUAGACGAAUCAAACUAUGUAAAUAAGAAAAAAAAUCUGCAGAGUUCUUUCCAUAGAAUCGUCAUUAGUCUGACACGUUCAAACGACUGAGAAGGAAUGGCAUAUUUGGCUCUGAAGAUUAUAUUGUUCCUCUCAGUCCAGGCAAUCCACAAGAUAG